CCUACGGGGGGCAGCAGUGGGGAAUAUUGCGCAAUGGGCGCAAGCCUGACCCAGCAACGCCGCGUGAAGGAAGAAGGCUUUCGGGUUGUAAACUUCUUUUCUGAGGGACGAAGAAAGUGACGGUACCUCAGGAAUAAGCCACGGCUAACUACGUGCCAGCAGCCGCGGUAAUACGUAGGUGGCAAGCGUUAUCCGGAUUUAUUGGGUGUAAAGGGCGUGUAGGCGGGAAAGCAAGUCAGAUGUGAAAACUCAGGGCUCAACCCUUGGCCUGCAUUGGAAACUGGUUUUCUUGAGGGCCGGAGAGGCCAUCGGAAUUCCGUGUGUAGCGGUGAAAUGCGGAGAUAUACGGAGGAACACCAGUGGCGAAGGCGGAUUGCUGGACCGUAAAUGACGCUGAGGCGCGAAAGCGUGGGGAGCAAACAGGAUUAGAUACCCCAGUAGUC
RNAcentral lists this ribosomal RNA (443 nucleotides) under uncultured bacterium. RNAcentral's name for it is "partial 16S ribosomal RNA". It matches the Rfam family "Bacterial small subunit ribosomal RNA", at positions 338 to 795 of the family's 1533-position model. The record is from RNAcentral.